AUUCCAUGGUUUGGACAUUUUCUCAUCAGCUCAUUAAAUCUAAUUCCAUGCCUCGUGAUAGCUUUCUCCCUCUUUCUGUUGAAAAGUUUGAAUUUCCAAUCUGAUUUU
Molecule: small nucleolar RNA, 108 nt
Filed under: Olea europaea subsp. europaea
Lineage: Eukaryota; Viridiplantae; Streptophyta; Magnoliopsida; Lamiales; Oleaceae
Description: Plant small nucleolar RNA R71
Rfam family: Plant small nucleolar RNA R71
About the family: R71 is a member of the C/D box family of snoRNAs containing the C (UGAUGA) and D (CUGA) box motifs. Multiple nearly identical copies of this snoRNA have been identified in Arabidopsis, and it is thought to function as a 2'-O-ribose methylation guide for 18S ribosomal RNA.
Source: Rfam by way of RNAcentral